RNAcentral lists this long non-coding RNA (2812 nucleotides) under Chlamydomonas reinhardtii. RNAcentral's name for it is "long non-coding RNA (CREI_LNC000964)". Lineage: Eukaryota; Viridiplantae; Chlorophyta; Chlorophyceae; Chlamydomonadales; Chlamydomonadaceae. The record is from RNAcentral.
CUCGCGAGUCCAUGGACAUCUUGACUUUCUUCAGUCCGCGAGUAUAGCUCUCGGGCCCUGAAUAUCUUACAUCCAUGUGUCAAAACAUGUCGACGACAAGCGUCUUGGGGCAAGAGUGUUGAAAGUUUGUGCAACAGGCGAACCAUGCGUGCCGAUCCCGAUCCCUUAAAUGCGUCGCGGCCCCGGUCGCGCCCGAGCCCGGCUAGCCGUUUGUGGUGCUUGUGAGGGAUUUGGAAUGAGGUACCAUGGACUCAUGUGUGGAGUGGCGUGGACAGGGCGUGGCGGUGCCUUCGCACGGCGUUGGCAUACCCCUUUGCCAGUCCCGCUGGGCUUGCAAGGGUGCUAUUCAUGUCGCCGGUGCCCAUCAUCACAUCCCUUGCUCUAUCAGGGGCUCAGCCCAUUUUCCAGCUGUACAAAGCUGACACCCCUUGUCGUUGGCGGCUUUGGCUUUCGUCACUAACUUUUUGUAGCCUUUUGCGGGCUCUGUGAGGCUUGACGACUUGGCUACGACUUGGUUUGGAUGGCUUCGGCCUUGGGUGGGUGCGUCGCGCCCUGUUUUCGGUAUCGCGCGUUCUGUGGCGGCUGGCCGCGUCUGGGUGGCCGGCCGCGCUCGUUCUGCUCUGUGGUCGCUUUUUGGUUUCGUGUGUGCAGUUACGGGUGGCCCUGGUGGUCGCUCGUGGCCCGGCGCAAGCUUCGAUGUUCCGUGGUGCUCCUCGGCGCCUCUCCUCGUGCCGCCUGGCCCGCCGUCGUCUCCACCGGCGGCCUUGCUGGCUCAGCAGAUAGUUAGGUUGCGGGUGCCGUUCGUAGCAUGGCGGUUCAGGGACCGUUAGGCAGCAGGUCACGCUGGUCGGGUAGUCCCGGGUGUCGGGUUGUGAGUGCCCGGGCGGCUGUUGCCCGGGCGCCCGGGCGGCUGGUGCUCCUGUUCGCCUCCGGGUGCGCGCGUGCCUGUUUGGUGGGUCGGUCUAGUUCGCUGGUGGGGCGGGUGGAGGGCGGUGUGCCCGUAGCGAGGUGUUGUGGUGUACUGGUGGUUUGGUCAGUUUCCGGCUCGGUUUCCCUUUGUGGUGCUUCGGCACAGACGUUUUCGGACAUGGGCCUCCGGGCCAAGACAUUGCGCGUCUGUGACGCCGACGAGAAAAUGUGUGGUGCUUGCGUUUGAUGGGGAUGUCGGCAGACCUCUGGCCUGUCGCGCCUUGUUGUGCGUCGGUGCUGCCGCCAAAAGACCUAAACGAGAUGAGGGGUGUUACGUGGCGGUGGGGCUUUGGCGGGCUUCGGCUUGGCUUCGACUCAUGUGCGUUACACUAUGAAGGUCGGCAGCCAACCGGGGGGCGGGUGUUGUUUCUCUGGGUCGCAGAUGGCCCUUCGCGGCGUGGGUACGGCGUUCCCCCUUGUCGGGCUGUCCCUUCAAUUGUAAUCCGCAUCCAUAGGCGAAGCGGGGUAGGUUAAGGGGCAGGUCGCGUAGUCCCGACAUGCGGGCGUUACGGUGGUGUGUUUGUGGUGUUACAAGGUGGUGUGCACGAUCUUUGCGUGCCUUGGAAACCGGAGGCCCGCGCCAUCAUGCAUUUUAUUGACGAGUGUUGCGGAACUAAUGCGUACUUAUACCAGAGCGGAAGGCGGAGUGGGCUUGCAGGCGGCACGAGAGUAGACAGUCAGUAGCGCAAGUUGCGAAAGCACAUGUUACCUCGUAACCGACGGUACACGCGGGGGAGCUAUGCAUUGGGUGUGUGAUGGGACAGGGUUCAAGGCAGGUUGGCGAGGUCCCGUAGGGUGCAGCCGAUGCAUUGGGUGUGAAUGGGUUGUGAAACCGCCGGGGCCCAGGGGUCAGGCUGGGGGUCAAGGGAAGAGCUGCACCGGGCUUCAUAUGUGUCGGUAGCCAACUGGGGGAGGGNNNNNNNNNNNNNNNNNNNNNNNNNNNNNNNNNNNNNNNNNNNNNNNNNNNNNNNNNNNNNNNNNNNNNNNNNNNNNNNNNNNNNNNNNNNNNNNNNNNNUCGUAGCAUGGCGUUUCAGGGACCGUUAGGCAGCAGGUCACGCUGGUCGGGUAGUCCCGGGUGUCGGGUUGUGAGUGCCCGGGCGGCUGUUGCCCGGGCGCCCGGGCGGCUGGUGCUCCUGUUCGCCUCCGGGUGCGCGCGUGCCUGUUUGGUGGGUCGGUCUAGUUCGCUGGUGGGGCGGGUGGAGGGCGGUGUGCCCGUAGCGAGGUGUUGUGGUGUACUGGUGGUUUGGUCAGUUUCCGGCUCGGUUUCCCUUUGUGGUGCUUCGGCACAGACGUUUUCGGACAUGGGCCUCCGGGCCAAGACAUUGCGCGUCUGUGACGCCGACGAGAAAAUGUGUGGUGCUUGCGUUUGAUGGGGAUGUCGGCAGACCUCUGGCCUGUCGCGCCUUGUUGUGCGUCGGUGCUGCCGCCAAAAGACCUAAACGAGAUGAGGGGUGUUACGUGGCGGUGGGGCUUUGGCGGGCUUCGGCUUGGCUUCGACUCAUGUGCGUUACACUAUGAAGGUCGGCAGCCAACCGGGGGGCGGGUGUUGUUUCUCUGGGUCGCAGAUGGCCCUUCGCGGCGUGGGUACGGCGUUCCCCCUUGUCGGGCUGUCCCUUCAAUUGUAAUCCGCAUCCAUAGGCGAAGCGGGGUAGGUUAAGGGGCAGGUCGCGUAGUCCCGACAUGCGGGCGUUACGGUGGUGUGUUUGUGGUGUUACAAGGAGGUACUCGAGGUUCCGCCCUCGAGCGUUUGGAACUGGCGAGCCUCCCGCUUGCGGGUGCAGCCUGAGCAUUCACGCGGCCGCAUGCACGCGAUUGCAGCACUGCGCGGACGGGUCGUCGUCG